CUGCCUGCCUGCCUCCCACAGCUGCUCUCAGCUGGGGAAAUAUGGAUAUGAAACUUCUCUGGGAACCUUGUGCCAGCAGUAGGGCUGGGAUGGGGGGGGGGGGCCUGUGUGCCCACAGGGCUGGAGGACCAGGACCAGGCACUCAGAACCAGUCUCUUCCCGUGGCCUCCCUGGGCUGGGCUCCUUCUGCCCUUCCUGUGUUAUUCAUUUAAAGAUCCUUUAAUGCCCACACCUCAGCUUGUAAAAGCCUGUAGCUCAGACCGCUCCCCGCCCUCAAGGGGCCCUUCCAGAGCAGCAGCAAAAUGCUGGUGAGGCCCUGGAGGUGGGGGAGGGGGCUAGGGGGGUAACCCCACCUUCUUCACUUGGGAGACUCCAAGUCCAGGCCGGGUCCUUGGGCUCUCAGUGGCUAUUAUGGGUUAAUUUUGUCCCUCAAAAAUUCACAUGUUGAAGCCCUAAGCCUCAGGACCUCAGACUGUGACUGUACUUGGAGCCCAGGCCUUCCAAAAGGUGAUUAAGAUGAAAUGAGGUCAUGUGGAUGGGCCCUAACCCAGUGUGACUGGUGUCCUUCUAAGAAACUUGGACACACAGGAGAGCAGGGGCACUCAGCAAGAGGGCCACCUCGGAGGAGACCUACCUGCCUGCCGACACCUGGACCUCGGGCUUCGAGCCUCUGUGAGCCGGAAGGGCUUCCUCCCUAUGAAGUCAGCCGCAUGACUCAACCUCAGAGGACACCUGCUCCAGCUGCUGCCUGGCUGCCAGGAAUGCUGCCCUCUGCCCUCCGCCCUUUGCCCUCCACCCAGGAGGAGGAGGAGCUUUCCAUCUGCCACUUCACCUGUUAAGGCCGACUGCCCAGAAGAAGUGUCUUGGGCCCACAGAGAUAAUUUAUGCAAUGCUCAUCCAUACAUUGCACACAUGACCCAGAUAAUAACUGCUGGAAAUGGAGUCAUUUACCCAUUUUACAGAUGGAAAGACUGAGACUCAAAAAACUGACCUGCUGAAGUUACACAGAAAUGUAAUUAGACGGGUGGGUGCCCCAGUGUCACACUGGUGUGGGGGUCUGAAAUGUGGGAACAGAAGGUCCACACCAGCACAAACCAUGUCCACAGAGGACACGGCCCUGGGUACUCAGGUGGGGCCAAUCUGUUCUACCCUGGAGGGAACACAGGACCGUCCUGCCUGACCUGCUCUUGCAAGAAGGUAGAGCUGCCCCCACCCAGCCUCAGCUCCAGAGGCCAGACCUGCCCACCUGGGAAAGCCCAGUCCUGGGCUGGAAUGGAGGGCGGGCCAAGGGGAGUGGUGGCCAGAGGGUGGAUCUGAGCUGGAAGGGCCAGUGAGUUGUGGCUAGCUGAAAAUACUACCAAAGGUGGCCAGGAUGGAGUCUGCUCACACACCUGGGAGCAGUGGAGAGUGCCACAACCAGGGACAGGAGGGCCCAGAGGCCAGGCUGGUUCUGGACCCUGUGGGCUUCCCAGGCCUGUCAGGGUGAUGGCCUCGGUUGGGCCCCAACAGGCCUCCUCUCACUGUGCUAGCACCCCCUUAUUUUCAUCCUCAAGGUGAUACUACUCUGCAGGUGAGGAAAUAGUCCCAGUGAGGUUAGGGACCCAGGUCAGGGUUGUCCAGGGGCCAUGGUGGAACUGGAAAGGACAGCAGGGCUGGGGGUCUCUGAGCGAGCCAUGCACCACCAGGCCACCCUGUCACACAUUCCGGGCCUCCUCUCCCAACUGGGAGUGGGCUCCUCGGCCCUGCGAGCAGGACAGCCAGCUGUCCCUGGGGGCUGUUGUUGCCUCAGCAGCAGACUCUUCUGGGGAAAAGGCCAGCCCCUGCUGGGCAGACGCAGGGGCGGUCCAGGGUGGGAGGGAGACCCCCCUCUCCAUCCCUGCCACUGGAGGAUAGCUGGACAGCUGGGUGGGUCCAGAUGUAGAGGAGGGGUGGGCGGCCCACGGUGCUGGCGGGUAGGGGUGUGGGAAGGGCCCUACCAAAGGCCUUCGUCCUGUGAGCCUGCCUCCCCCAGGUCUCUGGUGGAAUGUCCACUUCUGGCUGAUGCGAGGUGGCCUUGACUCCUCUGGGAGGGGGAGAGGGGACAGGGAGCUGCUGUGGUACCCAGGCUUGGGGGAGGCCCCCACUGGUGGCAUCUGCGGCCCAGCACGAACCCGGCUGAGAGGAUUCUGCUCGCCAUAGUCCUGAGGAGUGGGAGGCUGGGAUUGGAAAAUACCCUACCUCGUGCCCAGGCUGCUGGGGACAGAGCUGAGGUGACUACUACACAGGGGAGCUGUAAACUGAUAUUCAGACCGAUAAGGGAGGCUGGACUGCUUUACCUGGCAUGUUUAUUUGCCUUUUUUAUGUUUGAAGUCUAUACAAAACGUCGAGAGGAAAUAGCAAAGGCCAGGAGCCGAGCGAUCUGAUUCAACCAGGGGGAGGGGAGGUGGGCACAGGUAACUUCCAUUAACCUGGGGUGGGAGGCAGGUGGGUCUGGGGACAGGAGGGCAGGGAUUGGGCUGCCUUUGGAGCCCUGUAACCCAAAUGAAAGGGGAAAACCUGUUUCAAACAAACCCAUGCAAAUGCAAAUCACAGGUUCUGGGAAAGUAGGUCUUAAGGGGCAAGAACUAACACAGUCUGCUCAACCUAGAAGUUUUGCAGCACAAAGUGUCUAGCACUGAGUCCACAAACAAAAAUCAAACCCCAAACAAGAAAGGAGAAAAAUCUGUGGAGGCAACGUGAAUCCCAAGCUGAUCUUGGAGAGUGACUGAAAUCAGCCGCCGUGGGGCCACCUGAGAAGCCGACUGGCGGUGACGGGUGCCAGAGGACACCGUGGGAGGUUGGGCUGCAGGGACCACAAGGGCCAUGAAGGUGCUCUGGAGAACCACAGCCGCACACAGCUUGUGUGGCAGGGCGGGGAAAGCCCGGGGAGGCAAAAGCCCUGGCACUGGAGUUCAGUGUGACAUCGUCAAAUCAGGGCAUCUGGAUCCACUUGCCUCUCCCCCUUUACAGAUGGGAAAACUGAGGCCGGCGGGGCAGCAGCCUCUGAAGUACAGGAAUGCAGCCAUUCCUGCGACUCCCACUCACUGAGCCUUACUGUGUGCUGGGAACUGAGAGGGCAGGGCCCCAGCCCCAGCAGAGCUGACAGGGGCUCCCACCCCAAGCCUUUCAGUGGCAAUGCCCUCUGGCACCCUGCACUACGUCAGUCGGGACCCACUUCACAGCGUUCUUUGGAGGAGAAGCUGCUUGUCCCCAUUUUACAGACGAGGGACUUGAGGCUCAGAGGGGCAGUCUGCUCCCAGGACUGGGCCUGGAGCCCUGCUUCAUCUGAGCUAAAACAGCCCCACUUUCUGUUUCUACAAACCAGCUCCCACAUCAGCAACUGGAGAGUGCCAUCAGAACCUUUUUUGUUAGGGAAACAUCCAAGAACUCUCCCAACCACACUGGAAGGCCAACAAGGACGUCUUGAAGCCUUCCCCGAUGCUCUGACAUCCCAGGGCCCCCGGAGGUGUUCACAGCGUGGGGCGGGAGGAAGCUGUCCUCGUUUGCUUGGCAUCCCUGGGUGAAGGCGACACUGGACAUGGGCAAGCAACCCGGGCAUAGAUGCAAGUCAUGCAUCUUGUUUCCAGAACUCCUUGCGGGAAGCUACCCUGGCCUAGGAUCUGAGAUUAAAAAUCAUAUCUAUACUUGUUCGGAAGAUCAUGAAACACACCCAGGAAGGAAGGGGUGUUCCAGCAGAGCUCCGGGGACAGGCUGAUCUUCCUGCUUGCUCUCGCAGCCAAAGGGAUCCUUGCGACAUGGGAAUCCAGAUUACAGCUGAACCCCCGCCCUCUGCCCAGGGCUCUCCGUGUUGGCCUCCCCACCCUGCUCCUGCUCACUUUGCCCAGCCAAGCCUGUUCCCGCCUCAGGACUUUGAACAUGCCAGCUCCUUUCCUCUGAAUGCCCUCCUGACCCUUGACCCUGGGCCCUCGGCUGCAUGUGGCUUUGGAUCUCCGGUCACUCCAGUCUCUGCUUAAAGGUCAAGUGAGGACGACUUGCCCCUCCGGUCCCCGUCAUCACAUGGCGUUUAGCACCACCUGAUGCUCUUGCAAGUGUUUCUGUGCAUGUUUGCCACAGCCUGUCAUCCACGCUCGAAUGGGGCAGGGGUCCCCAGUGCCUAACUGUGGGCUCCGCACUGUGACACAGAGUCUUGGAUGGAUUAACACCUCCAAGGUGUCUUGCUGACAAAUGCUGCUCUGACAACAGAAGCUGUGCAAAGGGUGGAGCAGGGUGACCCAGACGGACCACGCCGCUUGCCAGGGCGACAGCCCCUCGGCUGCCCUCCUUUGUUGCCAUGUAGGAAUGUGGACCCUGUCAUUGGGCUGUUGGAGUCUCCCAGAGAAGCCAGAAAACCACGUCUUCUGGUGAAACUCAGUGACUUUUAAAAUAUAGGCAGCUAAUUCCAAUCUAAAAUAUAAAACACUUGGCAGGACAACAAAACCCGGAUGCAGGCAGAGGUGUUCAGAGACCAGCCCAUUUGUGUGACGUCUGGUUCAAACCACAGGAGUUAAGCUAGACUGAAAAGGUCAUUAUUCAAUGAUAGAGAUUGACAAGCACAGAACAGCAGCGGGUGUGCGGCUGCCCCUAACAAAGAAGCAGAUUUGGAAAGGAAAGUUCAUGGUAGUGCAAAGAGGAAAUAAUGCCCUUGAUGGUGCACCUGCAGGUGGGUUCAGCCAGGGCAGGAUCGCAGCCAGCUGGUGUGGAGACAGCUCAGAGCUCAGGCUCAAAGUCCAUGGUGCUGAGCUCACUUGGGAAGCAGGAGCAGGCAUACAAGGGAGCUAUUGCCCCAGGUGGGGUGCGGAAAAGCCGGGUCAAGCCAGGUAACAGGGUGAUGGGGCCCAGAGAAUGUUGCUGGCCAGUGGUGGCUGGGCCAGGCCACACGUCUAAGCCACAUCCUGCUCUAGCUUGCUUUUUUUUUAAAUUUUUUAUUAAGGUAUGAUUGAUAUACACUCUUAUGAAGGUUUCACAUGAAAAAACAAUGUGGUUACUACAUUUACCUGUAUUAUCAAGUCCCCACCCACACCCCAAUGCAGUCACUGUCCAUCAGUGCAGCAAGAUGCCACAGAUCCACUAUGUGCUUUCUCUGUGCUACACUGUUCUCCCCGUGAUCCCCACACCAUGUGUACUAAACAUAAUACCCCUCAGUCCCCUUCUCCCUCCCACACCCCUCCCCUUUGGUAAGCACUAGUUCCUUCUUGGAGUCUCUGAGUCUGUUGCCAUUUUGUUCCUUCAGUUUUGCCUCAUUGUUAUACUCCACAAAUGAGGGAAAUCAUUUGGCACGUGUCUUUCUCUGCCUGGCUUGUUUCACUGAGCAUAAUGUCCUCCAGCUCCAUCCAUGCUGUUGCAAAUGGUAGGAUUUGUUUCUUUCUUAUGGCUGAAUAAUAUUCCAUUAUGUAUAUGUA
Manis pentadactyla (Chinese pangolin) is the source of this 5417-nucleotide long non-coding RNA. RefSeq lists it as uncharacterized. The transcript has 2 exons. The record is from RefSeq and is a predicted model, not a curated record. Lineage: Eukaryota; Metazoa; Chordata; Mammalia; Pholidota; Manidae.